This 433-nucleotide ribosomal RNA is filed under the name uncultured bacterium. RNAcentral describes it as "partial 16S ribosomal RNA". It matches the Rfam family "Bacterial small subunit ribosomal RNA", at positions 29 to 507 of the family's 1533-position model. The record is from RNAcentral.
AACGAACGCUGGCGGCAGGCCUAACACAUGCGAGUCGAGCGAGGACUUCGGUUCUAGCGGCGGACGGGUGAGUAACGCGUGGGAAUGUGCCCUUCUCUACGGAAUAGCCCUGGGAAACUGGGAGUAAUACCGUAUACGCCCUAUUGGGGAAAGAUUUAUCGGAGAAGGAUCAGCCCGCGUUGGAUUAGGUAGUUGGUGGGGUAAUGGCCUACCAAGCCGACGAUCCAUAGCUGGUUUGAGAGGAUGAUCAGCCACACUGGGACUGAGACACGGCCCAGACUCCUACGGGAGGCAGCAGUGGGGAAUCUUAGACAAUGGGGGCAACCCUGAGCGAGCCAUGCCGCGUGAGUGAUGAAGGCCUUAGGGUUGUAAAGCUCUUUCAGCUGGGAAGAUAAUGACGGUACCAGCAGAAGAAGCCCCGGCUAACUCCGUG